UAAUUCUUUAUUUUUGAAAGCCGAUAACCGAUAUGUUGGCCGAUAAAUCUAUAUCCAAAUUUUUAUAUACUUUUUGAGAGCCUGAUUACAAAAAAGGUCUCAUCAUUAAAAGCCACAUCCCAAACACUUCAACAUAAGCAGCCUAGUUUGAACGGUGUACGUUUUAAAAAUAAUUUUACUCUCCCAUUACCAAAUUUAGUCAUAAAAAAGUCUUACAAAUAAAUAAAAUAAAAGUCACUGGACAUCAUUACACGUGUAAAGAAUCAAAAUGAAUGCGCCAUAGAUCAAUAAAACGGAAUAGCCUCUGCACGGACAAUAAUUAAAUGAUUUUAAUUACUAAACCAUAUUGUUGAU
Long non-coding RNA from Sinocyclocheilus rhinocerous, 354 nucleotides. RefSeq lists it as uncharacterized. NCBI's taxonomy places the organism in Eukaryota, Metazoa, Chordata, Actinopteri, Cypriniformes, Cyprinidae. The record is from RefSeq and is a predicted model, not a curated record. The transcript has 2 exons.